Molecule: ribosomal RNA, 140 nt
Filed under: uncultured eukaryote
Lineage: Eukaryota
Description: partial 18S ribosomal RNA
Rfam family: Eukaryotic small subunit ribosomal RNA
Source: RNAcentral
UGGUGGAGUGAUUUGUCUGGUUAAUUCCGUUAACGAACGAGACCUCAGCCUACUAUUGUAGUUACUAGUGUAUUCUGAUAUGCUUAACUUCUUAGAGGGACUGUCAGUUUUCAGCUGAUGGGAAGUUUGAGGCAAUAACA